Long non-coding RNA from Oreochromis aureus, 1603 nucleotides. The record is from Ensembl. Lineage: Eukaryota; Metazoa; Chordata; Actinopteri; Cichliformes; Cichlidae.
CUUGGGUGCGCUGCUGUACGAGUUUAAAAAGAAGCACAGGAACGCACCACGAGAGGUGCGUCUCAGGGCGCCGCUGAGGUGAGGAGAAAAACAGCAUGAGUUGAUGAAGCCUGGCCGCACAGCCCUGAAAAUGUGGACGGAGAUGAAAAACAAGAGCAGCGCUCUAAUCAAUAACGGAAAUAGCUCAAAGGUGAGAAAGAAGCGCUUUUGUGUUUUUGUGUGGUGAGCAACAGUGUACCAAAAACAAGUCUGCCGGGAUCUAUCUGACGACGGUUACACAGUACUGAUUUAGGUGUUUAUGAGCUUGCCAUAGGUAUCGGUUCAUUACGGGUUUGUUUGAUCGUUUUUACUGGGAGCGUAACCUUUUCUGUUUGGCUGUAAGUAGAUUCACACGCACAAGCGUUGCUCUGGCACAAACGUUUUACACUUUCUUGGACAUUGUCUUAUCUUUGUGCCUGGCGAUGCCCCCAAAGAGCUCCGAUUUUCCACAUUAACUUCCUGCAGCAAGUUCCCACAUCUGCUGUACACAGAAAUACGACUCGCUGUAGAUGUACACGUUUUUAACAAAGAAGAUGGUCGACCUAGAUCUUGGGGAGCAGUUGUCACAUGCUGUGCAGCAGAGCAAUGUUUCUGCUGCAGCUGCCACUCAUCCCGACUCAAAGGACUCUCCUACUUUCACUAAUGGAUUGAUCCCGGGUUCCAUUGCAGCUGCAUUGUUCAUUGCCUUUUUGCUUGGACUGUAUGCUAUUCUGUGGAAGUGUAUGGUGUCACCGCCACAACGAAAACACAACAAGUUGAGGGUAAGAGUACAUCAGAGAGCUUCUAUGUGAAGACAUGGAAGAUAUCUGGCAGCUGUUCUGUUGGUUAUCUUGGAUUUUAAAUGUCAUGGACUAAAGACUCAGAGCAGAUUUGAUCUCUGAAGAAAUCUUCAAAUAGAUUCAACACUAACAAAAGAAAAACCCCAACACUGGCUAAACUAAAUGGAUGAGCCACAUGUGCCUCCUCAGCUUUACAGUCUGCUGGUGGAUUCUGUUUACUCAAAGAGUCAUGGUGACGUUAAACACUGUUUUGGCAGGUCAGUCUGCUUUUUCUGUUUUCUGUGAAUUAUACACUACUGAGGGAGGCUACAACUUGCUCCAGUGACUAAUGAGCUGCAUGUAAAUGACUCUAAGACAGAGACAAUAUAGUAUUUUUUUUAGUAUAUGUAGCUAUUUUAGCUUUUUUCUCAACUGUACCAAAUGAUCUUUAUAUUUUAAGCAUGUAUUCUUAUUUCGUUUUAGCAUUUCUUUAUAAUAUUUUGGAUUUGAUUAUCAGAUCAGAGUAGCAUCCACCAUUUUAUCCUGUUCUGUCACCUAGUGGUGCCUCAGACAAGCCUAUGUGCACAAUUGCUCCUCAGGAUUUUGUAACUACUGAAUGAGUCUAUAAUAAAAGUCUUUUUUACAUUUAGUGGAUGUGACUGUUUGGUGAAUCUAAUCAACUACUUUCUUUGUUUAUUUUAGGUGUUUAUAAUAUGGGCUGAGUAAAGCUCUGAGUCUAUAGUUUCAGUAUCUCUCAGGCUGUACAGCACCUGUUUCAGUUUCUUUUGUUCUUUUUUCUUCUGAAU